GGACGAAUUCGUGGCUCAGCACUGGGGGGCUCUUGGUGCUUUUCUUGCGAAUCGCCAUGGUGGGGCCGCCGCCCGCGCCUGCAGGUGCUCCGCCCCGGUUCUGCUCUUCCCAGCUGCUCACCGACUCGCCGCCGCCUCCCGCUGGCUGCUCCUCACGGCCCCGCUGCAGCCGCUCGCUGGGGCUUCACUUCCCAUCCCACAGCCAGUACGCAGCCGCCGGGCCGCCCGGGGGAAAAAAAAAAA
Molecule: long non-coding RNA, 243 nt
Filed under: Homo sapiens (human)
Lineage: Eukaryota; Metazoa; Chordata; Mammalia; Primates; Hominidae
Description: lncAB554.1
Source: RNAcentral